UUGAACAUGAUGGGAUGAAUUUCUUCACCCGACUAAGUCGUGGGGAACAAAACAAACGAGCUUUUUAACACUGAUGGAC
Amphibalanus amphitrite is the source of this 79-nucleotide small nucleolar RNA. Lineage: Eukaryota; Metazoa; Arthropoda; Thecostraca; Balanomorpha; Balanidae. The record is from RefSeq and is a predicted model, not a curated record.